This 362-nucleotide long non-coding RNA is filed under the name Prunus persica (peach). RNAcentral's name for it is "long non-coding RNA (PPER_LNC007433)". Lineage: Eukaryota; Viridiplantae; Streptophyta; Magnoliopsida; Rosales; Rosaceae. The record is from RNAcentral.
AGACAGCAAAUGGAUUUCGGGUUGCUGCUGUGGCUGGUGAAGAGGGAGAUGAGGAUGAGGAGGGAGACGAUGAUGAAGAGAAUGAUUCUGGUGAAGAAAUCGAUGAAGAGGAUGUUGAUGAUGACGAUGUGGUGGAGGUUCAAGAGAUUGAGGAUAGUGACGAUGAGGAAGAUGGGGUUGAGUAUGAUGAGGAGGAUGAUGACGACGAUGAUGAAGAUGACGAAGAAGAGGAGGUGGACAAUGAUGAAGGGGAUCUUGCAGAGCCGGAGAGUACAGGGAGGUUGACGAGCACGGAAGGAGAGAUUGAUGGACAUGAACAAGGGGAGGAUGAUGCGGAUGAGGAUGAUAAUGGAGAGACCGGG